AGUCAUUCUUCAGGGGACUGUACC
RNAcentral lists this non-coding RNA (24 nucleotides) under Arabidopsis thaliana (thale cress). The record is from RNAcentral. Lineage: Eukaryota; Viridiplantae; Streptophyta; Magnoliopsida; Brassicales; Brassicaceae.